CCUACGGGGGGCUGCAGUGGGGGAUAUUGCACAAUGGGGGGAACCCUGAUGCAGCGACGCCGCGUGAGGGAAGACGGCCUUCGGGUUGUAAACCUCUGUCGCAGGGGACGAAGGAGAUGACGGUACCCUGUGAGGAAGCCACGGCUAACUACGUGCCAGCAGCCGCGGUAAUACGUAGGUGGCGAGCGUUGUCCGGAAUUACUGGGUGUAAAGGGAGCGUAGGCGGUAUGUCAAGUCAAGGGUGAAAUCCCCGCGCUCAACGUGGGAACUGCCUUUGAAACUGGCAAACUGGAGUGUGUGAGAGGAUAGUGGAAUUCCAGGUGUAGGAGUGAAAUCCGUAGAUAGCUGGAGGAACAUCAGUGGCGAAGGCGACUAUCUGGCACAUAACUGACGCUGAGGAGCGAAAGCGUGGGUAGCAAACAGGAUUAGAUACCCUUGUAGUC
RNAcentral lists this ribosomal RNA (443 nucleotides) under uncultured bacterium. RNAcentral describes it as "partial 16S ribosomal RNA". It matches the Rfam family "Bacterial small subunit ribosomal RNA", at positions 338 to 795 of the family's 1533-position model. The record is from RNAcentral.